GCCAUCCUGGAAGCUGCCACCACAAACAGACAUAGGUUCACAUCUCAGACUGUCCACUGACUGACUCUGUGCAAGGCUUUUAUGGAUGUUCAUUAGCUGAUUUUUAUCUGCAUGAUGAAUACUAAAAGUUGUAGGGUUUAAGCUGUGGAAGGAGAUCAUUGUGGCCUUUAUCCUGUGAUGCUAAACAGACCUUCAAACCUCCUGCUCAUGUAUCUGGGACACCUGUCGGAAAGGUGGGGUGAGGAGGGAUGGUGGCCCAGAGGUCAUGUGAGAGAUGACAAGUGUAGACAUCCCUGCAACUUCUGUUCUCAUGCUCCCUCUGCUUCCAAAUUCCACGGUCAUAGCCUGCACCCUGGGAGGCUCCGAACACUCCAGAGCGGGGGUGUCUGAAAAAUAAAGUUGCCACUCCAUUUCUACCCCCAGUUGCAUUUGGUCACCACAUAAUGAAAUGAUUUUCCUUCCCUCCUUUGUUUCCUCUCUUUCUUUCCUUCUGAGACAAAUGGAAAAAUAAUUUGAUCCCCUUGAAUCUUUUCACCCUCGGUAUUUUCCCCCUUCACACCCGAGCACCGCCCCUUGAUAAAUGAGAACACAUGUGCUGAAAGCUGCGCCUUCACCCUCCUGACUCAGGGUCCCCCUCCUCUGGGGACACGGGUUUACUUUCAAACCUUCAGAAUAAAUUCAUCACAGCAGGAAGAACAUUGUUUUUCUUCAAAACUUGAAAAAAAAAAUCAAAUCCCAUAUCACAAUUAUUUCCAUUUCAGAGAGAAAUUGUUGCGUUUUCAUCUCAAACUUUCUUCUCCCCAACUCUGAAGGCUGCAGCCGAGGUGCCGCGCAGACUCAGUUGGGCUGCUUUUGCAAAGUCGGCACAGAUUCAUCACUUCGGGGAGCCAAAGGGUGACACAUACAUAUUUUGAAUAUUACCCUGUGUGGAGAGCUGCAUCACGGCUUGACUUGGGGAGCUUCCACGUCUUCACGUCUUCACACGUGGACCUUUUCCAUGGAGAUUUUACUUAAAAAAUAAUCCUCGAUACAAUUCUUUCAUUUGAAUUUUCUGAAAAAAUAUGCUGAGAACUUCCGUAUGUUAUUCCACUGUAGUUCCUCUACCAUCCUAGCCCCUUGGAAAACAAACCCCUUUCUCUUUAACAAAAAACACACAAUGACAAAUGCCCGGUGCUGUAGGAAUUAAGCUCUUUGGUUUGACCACCGUCUGUAGCAGACCUCAGAGAAGCGGGACAUCCUCUUGAACUGAAACAUCCGCGCAAGAAUUCCUCUAAACUUCCUUGCACUUCAUUGUAAGGAAAACUCCUUGACACUGAGCAUACUUCUCCGUCGCUGCCAGGCGUCUUUCUGUUUAUGUAGCCUUUGUUUACACAUGC
This 1376-nucleotide long non-coding RNA is filed under the name Equus caballus (horse). RNAcentral describes it as "lncRNA (ENSECAG00000058294.1)". The record is from RNAcentral. Lineage: Eukaryota; Metazoa; Chordata; Mammalia; Perissodactyla; Equidae.